GUCCGUCUAUUCGUCUGUACGUACCAAAAUUGGUUUCCGAUCUCUAACUUAGUUUGCCUGUACCAAAUGUUAUGAAACUUAUACACAAUACGUAUUACCUCAAAACACAGGUCCAGUUCGAUUUGGUGAAGUCACUUUUACCAUCCUAGAGUUAUGCUCCUUAACAAAAGAAAAAAAGCGUUAAACAUUUUGUUUCCGUUUUCCAACUUUAGUUUGUUUCUACCAAAUGAUAUAAAACUUAUACACACGUUCAUUACCAAC
This 261-nucleotide long non-coding RNA is filed under the name Mytilus galloprovincialis (Mediterranean mussel). Lineage: Eukaryota; Metazoa; Mollusca; Bivalvia; Mytilida; Mytilidae. The record is from RNAcentral.